AGGAGGAUCUGAUCCUCAAUCAUUUGUGUUAUUUGCCAAGCUUCAUUUCAAACCUAACAAGAGGGGUAUAUUUUCACAGUAAGGUGCCCCUGAAAACAGAAUCAUCUGACAUUUUUCAAGUAUGAGGGAAUGCUCUCCAGGCCAUGGCCAUGCAAACAUUUCAGAGCAAAAAGUUGACUUCCUAGUAUGGCUUGAAUUGAGUGGGAGAUACAGAGUCUUAGUCCAAGUACUUGUUCUAACUUAAUCAUUAUCCCCAAACUCUGAGUUAAAUUGUGAAUUUGCUUAAGAUUCAAAUUCCACAUACCUGUUUAAUAUUUCCACUUUUUGUUUUUUAACUUUUCUUAUACUUCCCUGUCUAAAUGUAAAAUACUAGGAUCCUCUGUAGACCUGCAGUCAUGUUUUGGUUAACGGCUUUAGAAUGUGCUAAACCCCUUCUAGAUCCAUAAAAAUGAUCUAUUCCUUCAUAUUUCUUAAUUGAUGAAGACUGAUAGUGUGUGGAACACUGAGACAUCACUGAGAGGUUAAAAUGGAUUUUCUAAACAAUUUUCACAGACUUGUUUAAACAGGAAGUGAUUUUUAUGUCGUCCGAUCUUUGAGUGAAGCAAAGGCAGAAUUCAAGAACACAGGGUAAAAUACACCAAAACAACACGAAGCAGCAAAGCCUUGUCCAAGAAAAUGGAUUAAAUUGUUGCUGCAAUGUUUGAGAUCUGAGCUUCAGUAAUGACAUAAGAAAGCUGCAGAGCCGAUGCUGAAGUGGUGAAGGUGAAGAAAAACUCAAACCCAAUGAACCCUGCAUAGUUGUGACACUGAUGCUGGAUACCAUGGAAGAUACAUCUGACAGGCCUGGCUGCAAGGACUGAAGAUGCCAGGAUGUUUUCAGAACUGGUGAAAUACGCUUUGUUGGACAAAGGGGCUUCACCCAAGCUAGAAUUCCAGACUGUCCUGCUCCCCAGGGCUAGAGAUGAUUUGUUUAUUUCCUUUGUCUGUCCUGUGCAAAAGGGAAGCUAUCAGUAAGACAAC
This 1020-nucleotide long non-coding RNA is filed under the name Anas platyrhynchos platyrhynchos (common mallard). Its description in RNAcentral is "lncRNA (ENSAPLG00000020389.1)". Lineage: Eukaryota; Metazoa; Chordata; Aves; Anseriformes; Anatidae. The record is from RNAcentral.